GAUGAACGCUGGCGGCGUGCCUAAUACAUGCAAGUCGAGCGAACGGACGAGAAGCUUGCUUUUCUGAUGUUAGCGGCGGACGGGUGAGUAACACGUGGAUAACCUACCUAUAAGACUGGGAUAACUUCGGGAAACCGGAGCUAAUACCGGAUAAUAUUUUGAACCGCAUGGUUCAAAAGUGAAAGACGGUCUUGCUGUCACGUAUAGAUGGAUCCGCGCUGCAUUAGCUAGUUGGUAAGGUAACGGCUUACCAAGGCAACGAUGCAUAGCCGACCUGAGAGGGUCAUCGGCCACCCUGUCCCUGCGCCACGGUCCCGACUCCGACGGGAGGCACCCGGAGCGACUCUUCCCCCUUGGGCGACAGCCUGACGGAGCAACGCCGCUUGUGUGAUUGAGGUCUUCGGAUCGUAAAACUCUGUUAUUAGCGAAGAACAUAUGUGUAAGUAACUGUGCACAUCUUGACGGUACCCACUCAGAAGUCCACCGCUAACUACGUC
RNAcentral lists this ribosomal RNA (497 nucleotides) under uncultured bacterium. RNAcentral's name for it is "partial 16S ribosomal RNA". It matches the Rfam family "Bacterial small subunit ribosomal RNA", at positions 28 to 507 of the family's 1533-position model. The record is from RNAcentral.